Molecule: transfer RNA, 98 nt
Filed under: Micromonospora endophytica
Lineage: Bacteria; Bacillati; Actinomycetota; Actinomycetes; Micromonosporales; Micromonosporaceae
Description: Li et al. 2019 tRNA-Arg
Source: RNAcentral
UGCCGCCGCUGGGGAGGCUGCCGUUCCAGGCCAGGUUGCGGACCUGGAUCCGGUCGCCGGACUGGCUCCACUCACCGUUCCAACCGUUGCUGAGGCGU